ACCACCACUGUCAGGAUUUUGUAAGGAAGUAAUGUUACAGUGAUCUUGAGCUUCACUUGUUCUUCUCAGCCGUACCCGUUUUACCUGUUAUGGGAGGAGCAAUGAUGCCACCUAUUCCUAUGCCAGCUAUGCACUCUGUGCCCACUAUGCCUGCACCUACAUCCAUAACCUCAGUGCCCACAGCACCCCCUGUUUCCCCAAAACCUUCAGUGUCUUCAAUGCCAGCUAUGCCUUCUAUGCCAGCUUUGCCUGCUAUGCCACCUAUUCCAGCUUUACCUAAUGUGCCACCACUGACUGAUGUGCCAGGAGUGGAUCACAACAUCUUAGCACAGCAACAGCAAGCCAUCAUCAAUCAGCAAGCAAUUAUACUGGUGAGUAUUGUAAAAGCCCUGGUUCACAGUCUGAAAGUUGUUCAUGUUUGAUUCUGUUCAGAAUGCACCCUGUUACAUAUCUAAUUACUGGUCUGUUGUGCUGCAUAAUAGGCUCAACAAAUGACCAUGCAGGCGAUGGCCCUUCAGCAGCAGAUGUAUAAUUCAGUGGGAGGGCCGUACUCUGGUCCCCCUCAUCACAGCGAGCAUAUACCAAUGUCUCACUCUGGCCAAUCCAGCCCCACGAAGUUUGAAACUGGACCAAUACCGUACACUCAAGCUCCUGUUGCCCCUGCAAACAGGCCUUCUCGACGUCAUCACAGCCCAUCCAGGACAGUACCAACAGAAAAUGUAGUCAAGUCCACCAUCUCAAACUCAGAGCAUCUAGAACCAAGCCACAACAUCAAAGACAUAAUCAAACAGUAUCAGCCCGGUCCUGUCAAGCCAGUAGAGAUCCCAAGAAAAGAAACAAAAGUGUUUGUUAAGAAGCCAGAUCCACACCAUGAAGC
Long non-coding RNA from Pygocentrus nattereri (red-bellied piranha), 877 nucleotides. The record is from Ensembl. NCBI's taxonomy places the organism in Eukaryota, Metazoa, Chordata, Actinopteri, Characiformes, Serrasalmidae.